Molecule: ribosomal RNA, 301 nt
Filed under: uncultured bacterium
Lineage: Bacteria
Description: partial 16S ribosomal RNA
Rfam family: Bacterial small subunit ribosomal RNA
Source: RNAcentral
CAGCAGCCACGGUAAAACGUAGGGGGCAAGCGUUAUCCGGAUUUACUGGGUGUAAAGGGAGCGCAGACGGCAGUGCAAGUCUGAAGUGAAAGGCGUGGGCUCAACCCAUGAACUGCUUUGGAAACUGUAUAGCUUGAGCGUCGGAGGGGUAAGCGGAAUUCCUAGUGUAGCGGUGAAAUGCGUAGAUAUUAGGAGGAACACCGGAGGCGAAGGCGGCUUACUGGACGACAACUGACGUUGAGGCUCGAAGGCGUGGGGAGCAAACAGGAUUAGAUACCCCAGUAGUCCCUGUCUCUUAUAC